Monodelphis domestica (gray short-tailed opossum) is the source of this 583-nucleotide long non-coding RNA. RefSeq lists it as uncharacterized. The record is from RefSeq and is a predicted model, not a curated record. NCBI's taxonomy places the organism in Eukaryota, Metazoa, Chordata, Mammalia, Didelphimorphia, Didelphidae.
GAGAACACAGACACAAAUCCAAGGACAGACAAGGUCAUGGAGAAAUAGUCUAAGAAUAGAGGCAGCUUCAAGGAGUGUGACUCUUCACAACAGAGGAGAGAAGCCAUGGACUCAAAAAAGAAAUGGAUCCUGGGAGUGCAUCUUAAGUGCCCCACCCUACUGAGACUCUGUGUGAAGACUCUAAAAUAAAAGAGAAAAGGAUUUCUAGGUCCUGGAGUACAAAGACUUAUUUUUGCAGGACAUCAAGUUGGAAUUGUCCAUCCAGAAUUUGAUCAUGAGUGACUGAAGAAGUUCAGGAGAGAUAUGACAGCCAGAUAUGGAGGUAAUCAGCACAGUGAUGAUCUUUGAACUCAGUCUUUGCUAGAUGAUAAGAAACCUGAAAGUUUCUACCAAUCACUUUCCUUCAAGAUCCUGCUCUGCUGGGAAGACAUGAAGUCUCAAGAUUUGGGUUCAGCUAAAAUACUUAGCCAACACUUCUAGGGAAUAAGGAUCAUUAUAGGGUUGUCUGAAGAAUCAAGUUCUUUUUAGGAUAAAUGAAAAGAUUGCCAGUUUUUGUCAAGGUAGCUUUUCCUGACCACUUCUA